RNAcentral lists this ribosomal RNA (328 nucleotides) under uncultured bacterium. Its description in RNAcentral is "bacterial SSU rRNA". It matches the Rfam family "Bacterial small subunit ribosomal RNA", at positions 568 to 898 of the family's 1533-position model. The record is from RNAcentral.
UGCGCAGGCGGACUUGUGCGUCAGAGGUUAAAUACAUCGGCUCAACCGAUGACAUGCCUUUGAUACGGCAAGCCUUGAGUGCGAGAGAGGAUGGUGGAAUUCCUGGUGUAGCGGUGAAAUGCGUAGAUAUCAGGAGGAACACCAGUGGCGAAGGCGGCCAUCUGGCUCGCAACUGACGCUCAGGCACGAAAGCGUGGGGAGCAAACAGGAUUAGAUACCCUGGUAGUCCACGCCUUAAACGAUGUAUGCUUGGUGUUGGGGGGUAACCCUCAGUGCCGGAGGUAACCCGUUAAGCAUACCACCUGGGGAGUACGAUCGCAAGGUUGAA